GAGGGAGUCUGAGAGGGGGCUUGUCAAAGCGAACUUCAUGUUGGUGAAAGUUCUGGAGGGAGCCUUGCCACACCAGUUCGUCUAUAUAGGACAACAGAUUUUCAGGCCAGCGAAAGGUGUUAGCAAAAGUAGGGAAUGACCAGCUUUCCUCGAGAAGAACCUGAAUAAAUUGUUGGAGCCUGUCACAUGGAGAAUUCAUGCGGUAUUUGAUUUAAAGAGUUUCAGUUUGGUUGGGGGGAGGGAAGUGACAGUCCAAGUGGCCUGAUGUUGUGUAGGUGCCCUCUUAAGAUGGGAAAUAUGGUACCAGGAGGGAAGGCCUGUAAGUUUAGCUGCCGUCGGUGUUGUAAGAAUUACCAUGUAGGGGCCUUUCCACGGGGGGAGAGACCUCUUGCCUGGAGGUCUUUUACUAGUACCUGAUCUUCUGGGGUUAUUAUGGCUGGACUGUCUGGGCUGAGCGGUCCGGGCUUUGGAAGGCUGCAGUUGGCAUGUUCUCUUAGCAGCUCCCUUAACAGGGUGAGGUAGGGCAGGUACGUGCCAAGAGGUGGGGUAUUCACAGGGAGCUCUUGAAAGAGGAAGGGGCGCCUGUAUAGGAGUUCAAAGGGGCUAAGGCCUGUGGGGCUUUGGGGUGCUGCCCAGAGCCACGCGAGGGCAAAGGGAAGUAAGGUUACCCAAGAUUGGCGCGUCUCGAGAGCCAAUUUGAUUAGGUGUUGUUUGACAAGGCUGUUGGCGCGUUCCACUUUUCCAGAAGACUGCGGAUGGUAUGGAGUGUGUAACUUCCAGUUAACGUCAAGUGUGGUUGUCACCUGUUUGACUAUUUUGGAGAUAAAAGCAGGCCAAAUCUUGGGGUUAUCUGUUCGAUGAGGGUUGAAGCUACUACCUCUGCUGUUUUAUGAGUGGUAGGGCAGGCUUUAACCUAACCUGAGAAAGUGUUUACUAAAGUAAGAAGAUAAGUUGAUGUAUUUGCUUUAGUAAGGAAUAAAGGGAAGGAUGGUAGAUUAUGGGUUCAAGAAAGUUAUAUAGUGGUCUAGGCGGAAGGGCAGUGAAGGCGUCUGGCGGUAGGUGGAGGGAAUGCCAUCAAUCCUUAUAACAGAGAUUGAGGAGGGGCGGCUGGGUCUGCUAAAAGAUGGCAAAACAGAGUAGGUAGCCCUUGUGUCUAGUAAAAAGGAAAUGGACUUACCCGCUACCUGAAGCAUUACCCUGGGCUCGGCAAGGGUGAGAGGGGUUCCCAAGUCUGGGCCUCUUCAGUCGUCAUCCAGUUGGAGGAGCUGGAGGGCACCUUCGCCAUCCGAGGAGGGGUCGCCAUGUGGAGACACAGCGGCCGCUCCGAGGCCGGGGCAGUCUGACUUCCAGUGCCCCAUUUGUUGGCAGUUAGGGCACGGGCGUGUUGGCGGCUUGGGGUUUGGGCACUGUUUUGCCCAAUGACCUGGAUUGCCACACUUGAAACAGUUGCAAGGCAGGCAGGACGGUUGCUGUUGGCUAGGGCACCGGCUGGCCGUGUCCUGAGUUGCCGCACUUGAAGCAGGUGCCAGACGGGGCCUGGGAGAUCGUACCUCUACCUCUCCUGCUGGGGCUCUUAGGGAAUGCCGGUUGCAGGGCAGCUGCCAGGGCUUGGGUUUGGAGCUGAACUUUUUGUUUCAGUCUUGCCUGUCGUUGUACCUCAGCCGCCUCCUCUCGGGAAUUAAAAACUUUGAACGCCAGCUUUACUAAGUCCUGGAUAGGGGUUUGGGGGCCCUCCGCUGCCUCAUCCAGGAUUAGCGGAUAUCACUGCCCGCAGCGAAUGUGUUAGGAGUUGUAGAUGUAGUGGACUGGUAUGGCACUACAGGGAGGUGGAAAUAAGAAUGGGGGUAAGAUGGAAGCCAAGGAGUUAGGUGGGCAGGGUUAAAAGAACAAAUGGGAACUAACAGGAAUUAAAAUGGCGGCCAAAUGGCGGCAGAAGAACUAAAAUGGUGGCAGAGAAAAAAGGAAGUAAGAUGGCGGCGGUGAGGAAGCAGGUAGUAAGAUGGCAGUGGUGCAGAAGGAGAUGGCGGCGGAGAGACUAAGAUGGGGGCCGUGGACAAGAUUAAUGGCAAGAGAGGCUGGUCAGACUUCAAGGGGAAGGCUAGCCAGAGGGACUUGUGCCAGCGAAAACACUUGGCGGCAGCGGUCUGACGAGAGCGGAGGUCCCAGAACCUUUGAACAAAUUUGAUUUUUGACUAUUUGCCUCGCCUCUGACAAAAAUUGGUAAGGUCGUUUAGGAUAUUGAAGUUGAGUGUGCCUUCGGGGGGCCAGCGAGAUUGGUUGUCUAAGGUAUAUUGCGGCCAGGCAACUGUGCAGAAGAAAAUUAGUUGCUUUCGUUUUAAAUCUUGGUCGAGUUGUAAAGUUGGGAGGUUGCGCAGGAGGCACCCUAAGGGGGUGUUUUGCGUGAUUUUGGACUGGGUGGACCCCAUCCUCUUCCCUUUAUGGCAGCCGUCUGAGGGACAGCAGAAGCGUCCUUCUGGGGUCACUCAGACCACGCAGCUCCUGGAGCCUCGGAUCGGCUACUUCAGACACAGACGUCUCUGAGUCGUCAAUGCCGAUUUGGACUUCCCCUGGGGAAGUAAACUUGGGUCUCCUGGUGACCCGGACUGGCCUUCCCUUGAGGAAGGAAACUCUCCCUGGGUGUGCGCAUGACUCUCGGCCAGGGAGGAAUGGACAAAAGGAAAAAGGAGGGGUACUCACCCAGCGUCUGCCGAAUUGGACUGGAGUAGCUGCAGCAGCUGUGACCUGGCGGCAAGUAACCGGACGAAAUGGACCGAUGGCCGUGGAGGAGAAGCCUGACCUGACUGAGGGAGAGGCCUGAUCCGACCAGGAGGGGAGUCUUCCCGAGCCUCUGGGGGGCUUAGGAGGUGUCCCCUCCCGUGUUUCGGCACCAAUGAAAGGCAAUGGAAGGGCACCAUGGAUCAAUAAGGCGGAGAGGCGAGACAAAGAGGGCAAAAAUCUUCUUUAUUGAGCUCUCAGUGUUUUCCAAGCAGUGAAGCACUUGCCGUGUUGAACUGAAUGCACUACUGGAGAAUGUUCUGGGUCCAAGAUGCUCUUGAGAGAAGACUAGGCUUUUCAAAUCAAACACUCAAAGGAAUCAUGCAACCCUCUUAUGACUGGGAUGCCGUCAUGUGCCACUGACCAAUGCUAUCUCUCCAGAAAACCAUUCAAG
Molecule: long non-coding RNA, 3169 nt
Filed under: Homo sapiens (human)
Lineage: Eukaryota; Metazoa; Chordata; Mammalia; Primates; Hominidae
Description: non-protein coding lnc-ZNF138-2:3
Source: RNAcentral